Long non-coding RNA from Bombus huntii, 1178 nucleotides. RefSeq lists it as uncharacterized. The record is from RefSeq and is a predicted model, not a curated record. The transcript is spliced from 3 exons. Lineage: Eukaryota; Metazoa; Arthropoda; Insecta; Hymenoptera; Apidae.
AGGCUUGGAUAACAUCGAAGCCAAACUAGCUUAACGUAGGACACGAACAGGCACAUACACGUAAUAGCUAAGCCGGUGAACGGAAAGCAAGGUGAUUCCCACAGUAGUUUGUGUGUGUAUCUUCGCUCUGUUGACCGUACCUCUCCGAAAUCGAGCUAUUUACCACGCUUUUUCGAAUCGUUCUACCUCCAAGAGUGAGGAAGAAAAAGCUGGAAAGGGAGAAAGGAAAAGAGAGAGAGAGAGAGAGAGAGAAAGAGGGAAGUCCAUUAAUCAUGAAACAGGAACGCGAGAGAUAGGAUAGCGUCACGGAAAUGAGGCAAAAAUGCCGUAGAAGAGCGGCGCAUAAUUCGCUGGCAAACUCCCGUCCGGAAAAUACUAUCGAGCAAGGAAACGAUUUGUAGCCCGAUCAUAGAUUAUAGCGACGAUACAAGAAAAACAAUAGUUUGGACUUUAAAGAGACUCGGAGGUUUUAAGAAAAGCUCGACGCUAUAGUUUUCUUGAACAAGAAAUAGCGUAUACGUGAGAUACAGACAUUUAUUUUGAAGACAAUGGUAGAGGCUACAUAAAGAAUAAAGCCUGUAAUAAAGGAGAAAUGAUGGCAUUAUCGUUAAAAAAGGAGAAAAAUUAUAAAAACCGUGAUAGGAGGCAAAAAAUUGUGGUUAUUAAAAUCCACUGAGAGGACGAAAAUAAUAAAACACAUCGAAUGUUAGAUGCAUAUAUUUAAAUGAGAAAGGAGAAAAAACAGAGAUAAUUAUUAUGCGAAUAUUUACGCUACAAAAGAUAUAAAUCAUAUUCGCAUAUAUGUCAAAACAUUUAAUUUUUAAUUUAGUUUAAAAAAAUAGAAGAUAUCCUAAUCGAAUGAUUAAAGAUUUAUGUAAAUAAUAAAUUAGAUUUGAUAUAAUAAUAAAUAGUAAUAAAUUUGAUUUAUCAAAAUAGCAUCAAAUUAUCUGCAAAAAUACGUGGUUAUAUACCGUAUUUAAUUUUUAAUAAGUUUAUUAUUAUAAUGAUGAUUUAAAUAUUUCCCUACAUAAUUUGUUAAUAUACUAAAUGAGUUUGCAGUUAAUAUUUGAUGUAUUAUCGACUGGAACGUUUGCUUCUGCAAAUUACCCUCCAUGUUUAAUUUUAAUAAUUGCAAUUUAUUUAAAAGGAAAAAUGCUUGUAUAUAUAAAAUAAAAUAC